UACGGAGGAGGCAAGCGUUGUCCGGAAUUACUGGGCGUAAAGCGCGUGUAGGUGGUGGGACAAGUCUGCUGUGAAAGCGCCUGGCUUAACCGGGCGAGGUCGGCGGAAACUGUCCGACUCGAGGACGGUAGAGGGGGGUGGAAUUCCCGGUGUAGUGGUGAAAUGCGUAGAGAUCGGGAGGAACACCUGUGGCGAAGGCGGCCCCCUGGGCCGGCCCUGACACUGAGACGCGAAGGCGUGGGGAGCGAACGGG
This 253-nucleotide ribosomal RNA is filed under the name uncultured bacterium. RNAcentral describes it as "partial 16S ribosomal RNA". It matches the Rfam family "Bacterial small subunit ribosomal RNA", at positions 524 to 776 of the family's 1533-position model. The record is from RNAcentral.